RNAcentral lists this ribosomal RNA (1231 nucleotides) under Pseudomonas sp. RNAcentral describes it as "bacterial SSU rRNA". It matches the Rfam family "Bacterial small subunit ribosomal RNA", at positions 33 to 1293 of the family's 1533-position model. The record is from RNAcentral. Lineage: Bacteria; Pseudomonadati; Pseudomonadota; Gammaproteobacteria; Pseudomonadales; Pseudomonadaceae.
AUGCAUGCGCAGCUACACAUGCAGUCGAGCGGAUGAGUGGAGCUUGCUCCAUGAUUCAGCGGCGGACGGGUGAGUAAUGCCUAGGAAUCUGCCUGGUAGUGGGGGACAACGUUUCGAAAGGAACGCUAAUACCGCAUACGUCCUACGGGAGAAAGUGGGGGAUCUUCGGACCUCACGCUAUCAGAUGAGCCUAGGUCGGAUUAGCUAGUUGGUGAGGUAAAGGCUCACCAAGGCGACGAUCCGUAACUGGUCUGAGAGGAUGAUCAGUCACACUGGAACUGAGACACGGUCCAGACUCCUACGGGAGGCAGCAGUGGGGAAUAUUGGACAAUGGGCGAAAGCCUGAUCCAGCCAUGCCGCGUGUGUGAAGAAGGUCUUCGGAUUGUAAAGCACUUUAAGUUGGGAGGAAGGGCAGUAAGUUAAUACCUUGCUGUUUUGACGUUACCAACAGAAUAAGCACCGGCUAACUUCGUGCCAGCAGCCGCGGUAAUACGAAGGGUGCAAGCGUUAAUCGGAAUUACUGGGCGUAAAGCGCGCGUAGGUGGUUCGUUAAGUUGGAUGUGAAAGCCCCGGGCUCAACCUGGGAACUGCAUCCAAAACUGGCGAGCUAGAGUAUGGCAGAGGGUGGUGGAAUUUCCUGUGUAGCGGUGAAAUGCGUAGAUAUAGGAAGGAACACCAGUGGCGAAGGCGACCACCUGGGCUAAUACUGACACUGAGGUGCGAAAGCGUGGGGAGCAAACAGGAUUAGAUACCCUGGUAGUCCACGCCGUAAACGAUGUCGACUAGCCGUUGGGAUCCUUGAGAUCUUAGUGGCGCAGCUAACGCAUUAAGUCGACCGCCUGGGGAGUACGGCCGCAAGGUUAAGACUCAAAUGAAUUGACGGGGGCCCGCACAAGCGGUGGAGCAUGUGGUUUUAUUCAAAGCAACGCGAAAAACUUACCAGGCCUUGACUUGCAAAGAACUUUCCAAAAAAGAAUGGUGCCUUCGGGACUCUGAACAAGUGCUGCAUGGCUGUCGUCAGUUCUGUCCUGGAAUGUUCGGUUAAUUUCCGUAACGAGGCAAACCUUGUUCUUAGUACCAGCAGGUCAGGUGGGGACUUUAGGGAACUGCGGUGACAACCGGAGGAGGUGGGGAUACGUGAGUUACAUGUUCUUAGGGCUGGGUAACCUGGCUCCAAGGACGGUCAAAGGUUGCAAGCCGGGGUGGACCUAACCGUAAAACAAUCUAACCA